CUCCUCAACUCGAAUGCGAGUCGUGCGACAGCCCGUGGCCGAGGAGACUGAUUGACCCUACGGCGAGCCCCUUCUUCUUGAGGUGAGCUUGCCACGACCGCGAC
This 104-nucleotide ribosomal RNA is filed under the name Amsonia elliptica. Its description in RNAcentral is "partial 26S ribosomal RNA". Lineage: Eukaryota; Viridiplantae; Streptophyta; Magnoliopsida; Gentianales; Apocynaceae. The record is from RNAcentral.